RNAcentral lists this ribosomal RNA (268 nucleotides) under uncultured bacterium. RNAcentral describes it as "partial 16S ribosomal RNA". It matches the Rfam family "Bacterial small subunit ribosomal RNA", at positions 45 to 339 of the family's 1533-position model. The record is from RNAcentral.
ACGCCUAACACAUGCAAGUCGAACGCAGUAGCAAUACUGAGUGGCAAACGGGUGAGUAUAAUGUGGGAAUCUGCCUUUUGGUUCGGAAUAACACGGGGAAACCUGUGCUAAUACCGGAUAAGUCCUUACGGAGAAAGCUUUAUGCACCAUUGGAUGAGCCCGCACUUGAUUAGUUAGUUGGUAGGGUAAUGGCCUACCAAGACUGUGAUCAAUAGCUGAUUUGAGAGGAUGGACAGCCACAUUGGGACUGAGACACGGUUCAUACCCC